AUAAGCCAACUCAUUUGAAUGUACUUGCACAACAUUUAGAUCUCCUGAUGAAAACGCUGAUCUAAUGAGAUCACCACACCAGCAGUAUGAAAGGACAUGAACAUCAGUUUUUGAAUUUUCAUUUCUCACAAUCUUUUGGAAAAAUCCUCUACAGCCAUCUUGAAAAAUAAGUUGUUGACCAGCUCGUUUUAUAUCCUGGACACUUAAACCCUUCAACACUCCUGUCUGAAUCACUCUUGAAUUUGCCCUUUUCUCAAAGUCAGCAAGUUGUUCAAGAGCCUUACUCAGACCUUCAUAAUUAAAAUUUCCAACUCUUUCACUAGACAUGAUGCUAUCUAUGCAUUGAUCAUGUUCUUCCACAUACUGGGCUGAAAGAACACCCCACGUUUUCCUCAAAUCAGCUGAUGACAUCCGAGUGAGUUUGGUUUCAGAUCCACCAAGAUCCACCCUUGGUGCUGUUAUUAUUGCAAUUUCAGCUAAAAAGGCAGAGGAAUCAACAGCAGUGCAUGUCAUGUCAAAAUCACAAAAUACAGUGAGGUGGAAAUCAGCAGGGCCUUGCACCCCUGACAAAGGCACUAUUGUUUGCUGGACAAUUGGUUGAGCAGACAAAAAAUCCACUUUGAGUUUCACAGCUUGAAGAUAUAGCUUUUCUAGGACCUCAAGUUCUUCGUUUGUCAAAGAGAUGCUUAGUUUAUCCAGCACUUCUUCUAUUUGCUGAGUUGAUACCUCAAAGUUUUCAGAACAAUAAUUAUCUACCCACUUCCUGUAAAUAUGACUGCUAUCCUCUGGAUCAAGAAGAUGAUGUAUCUCUUUACAUAUAGAGGCAUAUAGUCUGAUGCAUGGUGCCAUGGCACCAAGUGUGUAAGCAGCCAGUUUUAUCCUCUCAAAAGGAGUUGCAAUUUUACCAGGAACUUUUUCUCCUUCAACUUUUCCCGAAGCUGUUGCCAGCAAGAAAUCUGCAUAUUUGGCAGUGGCAACAAUGGAAGUACUCUCUGGGGGAAGUUCAAAGCCCCAUUCACGGACAAUAGUUUCGUAAUUUUUAAGCCUGUCUUUGACGCGUUCUCUCAACUUGCGAAUCGCGCUUUUGUCUUCAUCAUCAUCAGCGCAUUCUUCAGCUAGUUCGUAUGCCUGA
Molecule: unclassified non-coding RNA, 1132 nt
Filed under: Hevea brasiliensis (rubber tree)
Lineage: Eukaryota; Viridiplantae; Streptophyta; Magnoliopsida; Malpighiales; Euphorbiaceae
Source: RNAcentral